GACGAACGCUGGCGGCGUGCUUAACACAUGCAAGUCGAACGGAAAGGCCCUGCUUUUGUGGGUUGCUCGAGUGGCGAACGGGUGAGUAACACGUGAGUAACCUGCCCUUGACUUUGGGAUAACUUCAGGAAACUGGGGCUAAUACCGGAUAGGAGCUCCUGCUUCAUGGUGGGGGUUGGAAAGUUUCGGCGGUUGGGGAUGGACUCGAGGCUUAUCAGCUUGUUGGUGGGGUAGUGGCUUACCAAGGCUUUGACGGGUAGCCGGACUGAGAGGGUGACCGGCCACAGUGGGACUGGGGUACGGCCCAGACUCCUACGGGAGGCAGCAGUGGGGGAUAGUGCACAAUGGGCGGAAGCCGGAUGCAGCAACGCCGCGUGGGGGAUGACGGCCUUCGGGUUGGAAACCGCGUUCGCCUGUGACGAAGCGUGAGUGACGGUAAUGGGUAAAGAAGCACCGGCUAACUACGUG
RNAcentral lists this ribosomal RNA (468 nucleotides) under uncultured bacterium. RNAcentral describes it as "partial 16S ribosomal RNA". It matches the Rfam family "Bacterial small subunit ribosomal RNA", at positions 28 to 507 of the family's 1533-position model. The record is from RNAcentral.